This 253-nucleotide ribosomal RNA is filed under the name uncultured bacterium. RNAcentral's name for it is "partial 16S ribosomal RNA". It matches the Rfam family "Bacterial small subunit ribosomal RNA", at positions 524 to 776 of the family's 1533-position model. The record is from RNAcentral.
UACGUAGGGUGCAAGCGUUAAUCGGAAUUACUGGGCGUAAAGCGUGCGCAGGCGGUUAUGCAAGACAGAUGUGAAAUCCCCGGGCUCAACCUGGGAACUGCAUUUGUGACUGCAUGGCUAGAGUGCGGCAGAGGGGGAUGGAAUUCCGCGUGUAGCAGUGAAAUGCGUAGAUAUCGGAAGGAACACCAGUGGCGAAAGCGGCGUACUGGGUCUUAUCUGACGCUGAGGCACGAAAGCUAGGGGAGCGAACGGG